Alligator mississippiensis (American alligator) is the source of this 347-nucleotide long non-coding RNA. RefSeq lists it as uncharacterized. The record is from RefSeq and is a predicted model, not a curated record. Lineage: Eukaryota; Metazoa; Chordata; Crocodylia; Alligatoridae. The transcript is spliced from 3 exons.
UUCCUCGGCGCCAUCUUGGAGUGGUGUCGACUCGGGGCUUCUCUCCUCUGCCGCUUCUUGUGCCGCCGGAACGGCCGCGAGCAGUCGGGCUUCCAGUUGAGACUUCAAGCUUCAGCACUGAAGUAGUAUCUUAUGAAGUUGCCUGAAGCACAGCCUCAAACAAGAGCAAAGCAGCCACAACUGCUUGAAUGAAACCAGGCAGAAACAUUGAGAAUGAAUUAGUACACUGAGUGCAGGAACACAGAACUUCAUCUGCAAAUAACCUUUUCAUAAGAGAUUUGUAUAUUCCACAAGUAAAGUCAUAUUUUGCACAGGAUGUUAUUAUUGUAGUUGCUCACUUUACUGUU